RNAcentral lists this small RNA (327 nucleotides) under Histoplasma capsulatum. RNAcentral's name for it is "hypothetical RNA". RNAcentral also lists the same sequence under 1 other name. The record is from RNAcentral. Lineage: Eukaryota; Fungi; Ascomycota; Eurotiomycetes; Onygenales; Ajellomycetaceae.
AGCUGUAGUUGUUGGAGGCAUUGGAUUAGGUGAUUCGUCCCCUCUAUCUGGCGCUGGUGGUGAUUGAGCUCCUUUGCCCCAGCGUGGGAGCGCAACCGCUACAGGGUAAGGCAGCCCAGAGUGAGUAUUUUUUUUUUGCUAUAAUUGCAUAAUUCCGCUCUGAAGAGGUUAGAUUAUCAUCUUAAUUAUCAUUGAUUUUAGAUAUAUCUGAUUAAUAUAUCUUAAUUUAUAAUGAGGAUACUGCCUUUUAAUCUAGUGAACAAGCUCAGAGUAUUGUAUAAGAAUCUAAUCUUACCUUAUAUCUGAUGAGAAGUUUAUGAGUGUUGG